GGACUCAUAGCAUAGUGGCUUAAUGCAGUCGGCUGUCGCCCGAAAGAUCGUGGGUUCGAAUCCCAUUGGGUCCG
This 74-nucleotide transfer RNA is filed under the name marine bacterium AO1-C. It matches the Rfam family "tRNA". Rfam says of the family: Transfer RNA (tRNA) molecules are approximately 80 nucleotides in length. Their secondary structure includes four short double-helical elements and three loops (D, anti-codon, and T loops). The record is from Rfam by way of RNAcentral. Lineage: Bacteria; Pseudomonadati; Bacteroidota; Cytophagia; Cytophagales; Cytophagaceae.